Molecule: ribosomal RNA, 484 nt
Filed under: uncultured bacterium
Lineage: Bacteria
Description: partial 16S ribosomal RNA
Rfam family: Bacterial small subunit ribosomal RNA
Source: RNAcentral
AUUGAACGCUGGCGGCAGGCCUAACACAUGCAAGUCGAGCGGAUGAAGGGAGCUUGCUCCUGGAUUCAGCGGCGGACGGGUGAGUAAUGCCUAGGAAUCUGCCUGGUAGUGGGGGAUAACGUCCGGAAACGGGCGCUAAUACCGCGUACGUCCUGAGGGAGUAAGUGGGGGAUCUUCGGACCUCACGCUAUCAGAUGAGCCUAGGUCGGAUUAGCUAGUUGGUGGGGUAAAGGCCUACCAAGGCGACGAUCCGUAACUGGUCUGAGAGGAUGAUCAGUCACACUGGAACUGAGACACGGUCCAGACUCCUACGGGAGGCAGCAGUGGGGAAUAUUGGACAAUGGGCGAAAGCCUGAUCCAGCCAUGCCGCGUGUGUGAAGAAGGUCUUCGGAUUGUAAAGCACUUUAAGUUGGGAGGAAGGGCAGUAAGUUAAUACCUUGCUGUUUUGACGUUACCAACAGAAUAAGCACCGGCUAACUUCGUG